UAGGCAGCGCGCGGCCAACGCUAUAUGUAGAUAUCGCCGCUUACGCGGAGCAUUACUAACACACAAGUUAGAGAUUAAAUUAGUAUUGCAUGAAACUUUGUUUAUAUAUCGAUAAUGACGAUAUAUAUAUUAUGUCUUGACCAAUUACGUGCCAGCAGUCGCGGUAAUACGUAAGAGACUAGUGUUAUUCAUCUUAAUUAGGUUUAAAGGGUACUCAAACGGUCUGUUUUGCACAAAAGACUAGAGUUAUAUAGAAGAAGGUAGUACCUUAAGUGUAGAGAUAAAAUUUUGUUAUACUGGAGGGACUUAGAAAAGGCGUAGGCAACCUUCUAAGUAAUAACUGACGUUGAAGGACGAAGGCAUAGGUCACGAACAGGACUAGUAACCCAAGUAGUCUUUGCAGUCAAUGAUGAAUGCCAUAGGUUAGAUAAAAAUUUAGUCUAUAAAUGAAAAUGUAAGCAUUUCACCUCAAGAGUAAUGUGGCAACGCAGGAACUGAAAUCACUAGACCGUUUCUGACACCAGUAGUGAAGUAUGUUAUUUAAUUC
This 547-nucleotide ribosomal RNA is filed under the name Beauveria bassiana. Its description in RNAcentral is "SSU rRNA". It matches the Rfam family "Bacterial small subunit ribosomal RNA", at positions 345 to 952 of the family's 1533-position model. The record is from RNAcentral. Lineage: Eukaryota; Fungi; Ascomycota; Sordariomycetes; Hypocreales; Cordycipitaceae.